This 793-nucleotide non-coding RNA is filed under the name Haemagogus albomaculatus. Lineage: Eukaryota; Metazoa; Arthropoda; Insecta; Diptera; Culicidae. The record is from RNAcentral.
AGUUAUUUUUAUUUUAGUUAAAAUUUUUAUUAUUAUUUUAUUUUACAUGUAAAUUUUUGUGUGAAUUAAUUUAAUUUUUAAAAAAUUAAAUUUAUUUAUUUAUUCGCAGUAAUUAAUAUUAAUUUAAAAAGAAAUUUUGUAUUAGUGAUAAUAUAUAGUAUUGGUAAAAUUUGUGCCAGCUACCGCGGUUAUACAAAUAAUACAAGUGAAAAUUUUUAGUAUUAGUUAAAUUAAAAAUUAAUUAAUAAUAUACAUAUAAAUUUAUUAGGUAAAAUUUUUAAAUUUAUUUAUUUAUUAUUUUAUAAAAUAAUUUAAGCUAUAAACUUUUUAUUAUAAACUAGGAUUAGAUACCCUAUUAUUAAAAAUAAAUAUUUAAAAUACUAAAGUAGUAUUAGUUAUAUUCUUAAAAUUUAAAAAAUUUGGCGGUGUUUUAGUCUAUUUAGAGGAAUCUGUCCUAUAAUUGAUAAUCCACAUUGAACCUUACUUAAAUUUGUUUAAUUUGUAUAUCGCCGUCAUCAGAAUAUGUUAUUAGAUAAAAUUUUCUUAAUAUUAAAUUAAAUAAAAUGUCAGGUCAAGGUGCAGUUUAUGUUUAAGUAGAGAUGGAUUACAAUAAAUAUAUUUAAAUGAAUAAAUUUUUGAAAUAAAAUUUUGAAAGUGGAUUUAAUAGUAAUAUAAAAUAGAUUAUUUAUAUGAUUUUAGCUCUAAAACAUGUACAUAUCGCCCAUCGUUCUUAUUUUUAAAAUAAGAUAAGUUGUAACAUAGUAGAUGUACUGGAAAGUGUAUCUAGAAAGAC